UACGUAGGGGCAAGCGUUGUCCGGAAUCACUGGGCGUAAAGGGCGCGUAGGUGGUGGCUUAAGCGUGCGGUGAAAGCUCGGGGCUCAACUCCGAGUCGGCCGUGCGAACUGGGCUCACUGGAGCAUAGUAGAGGCAGGUGGAAUUCCGGGUGUAGCGGUGGAAUGCGUAGAGAUCCGGAAGAACACCGGUGGCGAAGGCGGCCUGCUGGGCUAUGGCUGACACUGAGGCGCGACAGCGUGGGGAGCAAACAGG
This 253-nucleotide ribosomal RNA is filed under the name uncultured bacterium. Its description in RNAcentral is "partial 16S ribosomal RNA". It matches the Rfam family "Bacterial small subunit ribosomal RNA", at positions 524 to 776 of the family's 1533-position model. The record is from RNAcentral.